UGGGGAAUCUUGGACAAUGGGGGCAACCCUGAUCCAGCCAUGCCGCGUGAGUGAUGAAGGCCUUAGGGUCGUAAAGCUCUUUCGCCUGUGAAGAUAAUGACGGUAGCAGGUAAAGAAACCCCGGCUAACUCCGUGCCAGCAGCCGCGGUAAUACGGAGGGGGUUAGCGUUGUUCGGAAUUACUGGGCGUAAAGCGCACGUAGGCGGACCAGAAAGUUGGGGGUGAAAUCCCGGGGCUCAACCCCGGAACUGCCUCCAAAACUAUUGGUCUAGAGUUCGAGAGAGGUGAGUGGAAUUCCAAGUGUAGAGGUGAAAUUCGUAGAUAUUUGGAGGAACACCAGUGGCGAAGGCGGCUCACUGGCUCGAUACUGACGCUGAGGUGCGAAAGUGUGGGGAGCAAAACAGGAUUAGAUACCCUGGUAGUCCACACCGUAAAACGAUGAAUGCCAGUCGUCGGGUAGCAUGCUAUUCGGUGACACACCUAACGGAUUAAGCAUUCCGCCUGGGGAGUACGGUCGCAAGAUUAAAACUCAAAGGAAUU
This 540-nucleotide ribosomal RNA is filed under the name uncultured bacterium. RNAcentral's name for it is "bacterial SSU rRNA". It matches the Rfam family "Bacterial small subunit ribosomal RNA", at positions 355 to 911 of the family's 1533-position model. The record is from RNAcentral.